Molecule: ribosomal RNA, 497 nt
Filed under: uncultured bacterium
Lineage: Bacteria
Description: partial 16S ribosomal RNA
Rfam family: Bacterial small subunit ribosomal RNA
Source: RNAcentral
GAUGAACGCUGGCGGCGUGCCUAAUACAUGCAAGUCGAGCGAACAGAUAAGGAGCUUGCUCCUUUGACGUUAGCGGCGGACGGGUGAGUAACACGUGGGUAACCUACCUAUAAGACUGGAAUAACUCCGGGAAACCGGGGCUAAUGCCGGAUAACAUUUAGAACCGCAUGGUUCUAAAGUGAAAGAUGGUUUUGCUAUCACUUAUAGAUGGACCCGCGCCGCAUUAGCUAGUUGGUAAGGUAACGGCUUACCAAGGCAACGAUACGUAGCCGACCUGAGAGGGUGAUCGGCCACACUGGAACUGAGACACGGUCCAGACUCCUACGGGAGGCAGCAGUAGGGAAUCUUCCGCAAUGGGCGAAAGCCUGACGGAGCAACGCCGCGUGAGUGAUGAAGGUCUUCGGAUCGUAAAACUCUGUUAUUAGGGAAGAACAAAUGUGUAAGUAACUAUGCACGCCUUGACGGUACCUAAUCAGAAAGCCACGGCUAACUACGUG